UGCAGUCGAGCGAAUGGAUUAAGAGCUUGCUCUUAUGAAGUUAGCGGCGGACGGGUGAGUAACACGUGGGUAACCUGCCCAUAAGACUGGGAUAACUCCGGGAAACCGGGGCUAAUACCGGAUAACAUUUUGAACCGCAUGGUUCGAAAUUGAAAGGCGGCUUCGGCUGUCACUUAUGGAUGGACCCGCGUCGCAUUAGCUAGUUGGUGAGGUAACGGCUCACCAAGGCAACGAUGCGUAGCCGACCUGAGAGGGUGAUCGGCCACACUGGGACUGAGACACGGCCCAGACUCCUACGGGAGGCAGCAGUAGGGAAUCUUCCGCAAUGGACGAAAGUCUGACGGAGCAACGCCGCGUGAGUGAUGAAGGCUUUCGGGUCGUAAAACUCUGUUGUUAGGGAAGAACAAGUGCUAGUUGAAUAAGCUGGCACCUUGACGGUACCUAACCAGAAAGCCACGGCUAACUACGUGCCAGCAGCCGCGGUAAUACGUAGGUGGCAAGCGUUAUCCGGAAUUAUUGGGCGUAAAGCGCGCGCAGGUGGUUUCUUAAGUCUGAUGUGAAAGCCCACGGCUCAACCGUGGAGGGUCAUUGGAAACUGGGAGACUUGAGUGCAGAAGAGGAAAGUGGAAUUCCAUGUGUAGCGGUGAAAUGCGUAGAGAUAUGGAGGAACACCAGUGGCGAAGGCGACUUUCUGGUCUGUAACUGACACUGAGGCGCGAAAGCGUGGGGAGCAAACAGGAUUAG
RNAcentral lists this ribosomal RNA (744 nucleotides) under Bacillus cereus. Its description in RNAcentral is "bacterial SSU rRNA". It matches the Rfam family "Bacterial small subunit ribosomal RNA", at positions 56 to 781 of the family's 1533-position model. The record is from RNAcentral. Lineage: Bacteria; Bacillati; Bacillota; Bacilli; Caryophanales; Bacillaceae.